AACAGGAAAUGUGGUUUUAUAACAAAAAAUGAUUUUUGAACCGUAAAGAUGACAUGUUAUUUCGUUGGUUAUUCCGUUAUGUGUUUUUGAACUGCUCAUCACUACUUUCAGACCUUAUUUACUUUAGUUACAUAUUGAGUUGGCGUACUCACGUUACUCCCUGCACCUUGAGUCCAGAUCCAAGUGCCCGAGUGAGCAUUAUUUAGUUGGUUCAGUUUUCUGUCGGGGAUUUCGAGGUAGCAACAUGGCGUUCGUAGCCCUGUUCUCUACCUUCUAUCUUGUUAUCUUUUUAGUAUUUUCUAGACUAUCUAUGUAGUAGGAUGUUUGGACUUGCAUUAGAGGCUCUAGACUCAUGACACCAGAUCAGUUGGGCUGUGUAGUUUAUUAUUAUUUUGACUUCCACAUAUUUUCUGUCAUUUUAAACAUUUAUUAUGAAAUCGGUGUUUAAAACUCGUGUUGGAAAUGUUUUCUUACUAAAGGAAAUGGGUUGUGGUUAGUGGACUGGUUGGCUUGCCUAGUAAUGUGACAAGUUGGUAUCAGAGCCUAGGUUACAUAGGUCUCGUGAGUCAUGAGCUGGUUUAGUAGAGUCUCGCGGAUGAGUAUGGAGACAUUUGUAUUUAUCCUCGAGACGCUGCAGAACCUUUAAGAAAAACUUCAUAUUCUUGAAAUUCUUGUCGUGCAAAUUUCUUGAUCCGAGUAUUAAACAUAUGAUAUUCCAUUCUCUCACAGAUGGUGAGGAUACGUGCUACCGAGUAGGGCGGAUGAUCGCUAGUACCACCAGCUGGGGUCACCGGAGGCCGAGGUCGCGGUCGAGGCCGUGGUAGGGGCAGAGCAGCUAGAGUAGCACCGACAGAUCCACCAGCUGCCCUAGUUCCGGAUCAGGUCCUGGUUGUGGAUGUUAUAGCAGCACCGGUUCAGGUACCAGCUGUGCCUAUUGUGAUCCCAGGUCUCCAGGAGGCUUUAGCUCAGAUAUUAUCAGUUUGUACCGGUUUGGCUCAGGCGGUUUCAGCUACUAUGGCCGCAGCUACUUCCCAGGCCGGGGGAGUCACCCAGACUCCCGUUGCUCGCACACCUGAGUAGGUAGUGAAGGGAUUACAGACAAUGGGGGCACCUCAAGCCCAGCCGGUUGCACCAGCUCAGAAGUUUGUAGUACCAGUUAUGCCAGAUGAUGAGCAGCGUCGACUUGAGAUGUUUGGUAGGCUCCAACCUCCGUCAUUCAGCGGUGCAGAGGGCGAGGAUGCCUAGGGGUUCUUGGAUAAGUGCUAGCGAAUGCUUCAUACAGCAGGGAUUCUUGAGACUAGUGGUGUGGUAUUUACUACAUUUUAGUUUUCUAGGGCUGCCUUCACUAGGUAGGAGGCGUAUGAGAGGCGUAGGCCUGUUGGUGUAGCGCCCCUUACUUGGUAGCAGUUCUCUGUUCUCUUCCUGGAUAAGUAUGUACCACAGUAGCACCGAGAGGAGCUGCGCAAGCAGUUUGAGCAGCUGCGCUAGGGGGAGAUGACGGUGACGCAGUAUGAGAUGCGGUUUUCUGAGUUAGCUCGUCAUGCGGUUUGGAUGGUUCCUACCGACUAAGAGAGGAUAAGGAGGUUUGUUGAUCGCCUCACGUACCAGCUUCAGAUUCUCAUAACUAGGGAGAGAGUGACAGGUGCUACCUUCGAGGAGGUUGUUGAUAUCGCCCGUGAGAUUGAGUCGGUUCACCGGCAGAAGCGAGAGGAGAGGGAGGCCAAGAGGCCUCAGGGAUCUGGUAGAUUUAGUAGUGCUCCUUCGAGGGGUCAGUUCUAGUAGGGCAGAGGCUGUUCAUUCAGGCAUGCUCAUUCAACUCGCCCGGGUUGCCGUGGAGUAUCAUCGGGUCAUGGCUUUCAUAGUUCUCAUCAGGGCCACUCAUCACUUAGUGCCCUUCCAGCUCAGAGCUCGUCUCGUGCUCUAUCAGUCUAGGGUUCUUCCAUGCCAGGUCCUUCUACUUGUCACUCUGGUGUCAGGGGUUCCCUUCAGUCCCCAUCUCCAGCACCGGGGAGUUAUUAUGAAUGUGGCUGUUUUGGGCAUAUGAGGAGGCAAUGUCCUUGUCUUCGUGAUGGUCAGUCUCAGCAGAGGGAUCAGCCCUCAACUUCUGCUCCAGUUACUUCACCACCCGUCCAGCCCGCUAGUGGUGGAGGUUAGGCAACCAGGGGUCGCCCAGAAGGGGAGGUCGAUCAGGCGGUGGUCAGGAUCGUUUCUAUGCUAUCCCAGGUAGACCAAAUGCUAUUGCUUCGGAUACUGUCAUUACAUGUAUUGUUUCAGUCUGCCAUAGAGAUGCCUCUAUAUUAUUUGAUCCCGGUUCCACCUUUUCUUAUGUGUCCUCGUACUUUGCUCAUUAUUUGGGUACACCCCGGGAGUUUCUUGCUUUACCUGUUCAUGUAUCUACCCCGGUAGGUGAUACUAUUGUUGUAGACCGUAUGUACCGGUCAUGUGUGGUGACUAUUGGGGGUCUGGAGACCCAAGUGGAUCUGUUAUUACUGAGUAUGGUUGAUUUUGAUGUCAUUUUGGGAAUUGAUUGGUUAUCUCCGUAUCGUGCUAUUCUAGACUGUCAUGCCAAGACAAUCACUUUGGCUAUGCCGGGUAUGCCACGGAUCGAGUGGCGAGGUGUGACUGAUUACGUUCCUAGUAGAGUUAUCUUUUUUUUGAAUGCCCAUCGUAUGGUUGGGAAGGGUUGUCUUUCAUAACUAGCAUUUUGUGAGGGAUGUUGGAUCUGAGGCUCCCAGUAUUGAUUCUGUCCUAGUUGUAAGGGAUUUUCCAGAUGUGUUUCCUGCAGACCUGCCGGGCAUGCCAUCGGAUAGGGAUAUUGAUUUUGGUAUUGAUCUAGUGUCGGGCACUUAGCCCAUUUCUAUUCUGCUGUAUCGUAUGGCACCAGCAGAGUUGAAGGAGUUAAAAGAGAAGCUUCAGGAACUCCUUGAUAAAGGGUUCAUUCGGCUUAGUGUGUCACCUUGGGGUGCGCCUGUUCUAUUUGUGAAGAAGAAGGAUGGCACAAUGAGAAUGUGCAUUGAUUAUAGGCAAUUGAAUAAGGUAAUAAUUAAGAACAAGUAUCCUUUGCCUCACAUUGAUGAUUUGUUUGACCAGCUUCAGGGAGCGACAGUGUUCUCCAAGAUUGAUCUCCGUUCGGGCUAUCACCAGUUGAAGAUCAGGGAUUCAGAUAUAAUUAAGCGGCUUUCAAGACCCGAUAUGGUCAUUAUAAGUUCUUGGUAAUGUCUUUUGGGCUGACCAAUGCCCCAACAUCGUUCAUGCAUUUGAUGAACAGCGUGUUCCGGCCUUAUCUUUAUUCGUUUGUCAUAAUCUUCAUUGAUGAUAUUCUGGUGGAUUCCCGUAGUCAAGAGGAGCACGCGGAGCAUUUGAAAGUGGUAUUGCAGAGAUUGAGGGAUGAGAAACUUUAUGCAAAAUUCUCCAAGUGUGAGUUUUGGCUUGGUUCAGUGGCUUUCUUGGGGCACGUGGUGUCCAGCAAGGGUAUUCAGGUUGAUCUAAAGAAGAUAGAUGCGGUUCAAAGUUGGCCUAGGCCGUCCUCAGCCAUAGAGAUUCGCAGCUUUCUUGGCUUGGUAGGCUAUUAUUGCCGGUUUGUUUAGGGAUUCUCAUCUAUUGCAUCGCCCUUGACCAAGUUGACUCGCAAUGGUGCUCCAUUUGUAUGGUUAGACAAGUGUGAGGAGAGCUUUUAGAAGCUCAAGACACCUUUGACCACAACUCCAGUGUUAUUUUUGCCAUCAGCUUUAGGCUCCUAUACCGUGUAUUGUGAUACUUCAAGAGUUGGUAUUGGUUGUGUGUUGAUGCAGGAGGGUAGAGUUAUUGAUUAUGCUUCUCGUCAAUUGAAGCCCCAUGAGAAGAACUACCACGUUCAUGAUUUGGAGUUGGCUGCCAUAGUUCACGCAUUGAAGAUUUGGAUACAUUACUUGUAUGGCGCAUCUUGUGAAGUGUUCACUGAUAAUCGCAGUCUUCAGCAUUUGUUCAAGUAAAAGGAUCUUAAUUUGAGGCAGCGAAGAUGGUUGGAGUUGCUUAAGGAUUAUGAUAUUACGAUAUUGUAUCAUCCGGGAAAAGCCAAUGUGGUGGUCGAUGCUUUGAGCUGAAAGGCAGUGAGUAUGGGGAGUUUGGCAUAUAUUCCAGUUGGGGAGAGACCCCUUGCUAUUGAUGUUUAGGCCUUGGCCAAUCGGUUAGUGAGGUUAUAUAUUUUGUAGCCCAGUCGGGUGUUGCCUUGUAUGGUUUCUCGGUCUUCCUUAUAUGAUCGCAUCAGAGAACGCCAGUAUGAUGAUCCACAUUUGCUUGUCCUUAGGGACAUAGUUCAGCAUGAUGAUGCCAGGGAUGUAACCAUCGGUAAUGAUGGGGUGUUAAGGAUGCAGGGCUGAAUUUGUGUGCCCAAUGUAGAUGGGAUUCGGGAGUUUAUUCUGGAGGAAGCCCAUAGCUCACGGUAUUCCAUUCAUCCGGGUGCCGCGAAGAUGUAUCAGGAUUUGAGACAGCACUAUUGGUGGAGGAGAAUGAAGAAAGAUAUUGUGGGAUUUGUAGCUGGGUGUCUCAAUUGUCAGCAGGUGAAAUAUGAGCAUCAGAGACCGGGUGGCUUACUUCAGCAGAUGGUUAUUCUUGAGUGGAAGUGGAAGAGGAUCACUAUGGACUUUGUUGUUGGACUUCCACGGACUUUGAAGAAGUUUGAUGCUAUUUGGGUGAUUGUGGAUCGGCUGACCAAGUCCGCGCACUUCAUUCCUAUGUGUACUACCUAUUCUUCAGAGCGGUUGGUAGUGAUCUAUAUCCGGGAGAUUGUUCGUUUGUAUGGUGUUCUAGUUUCCAUCAUUCGGAUAGAGGUACUCAGUUUACCUCACGGUUUUGAAGGGUCGUACAGAGCGAGUUGGGUACUCAGGUUGAGUUGAGCACAACUUUUCAUCCUCAGACGGACGGACAGUACGUAUGUACUAUUCAAAUAUUGGAGGACAUGUUGCGUGCUUGCGUCAUGAAUUUCGGUGGAUCAUGGGAUAAGUUUCUACCGCUCGCAGAGUUUGCUUAUAACAAUAGUUUCCAGUCGAGUAUUCAGAUGGCUCCAUAUGAGGCUUUGUAUGGGAGGCGGGGUAGAUCUCUAAUUGAUUGGUUCGAGCCCAGUGAGGCUAGGCUAUUAGGGACUGAUUUGGUGCAGGAUGCUUUGGAGAAGGCAAAGAUGAUUCAGGAGAGGCUUCGUGCAGCGCAGUUGAGACAAAAGAGUUUUGCCAGUAGAAAGGUUCGAGAUGUGUCCUACAUGGUUAGCGAGAAGGUUCUGUUGAAGGUUUUACCCAUGAAGGGUGUCAUGAGAUUUGGGAAGAAAGGGAAAUUUAGUCUGCGGUUCAUUGGGUCUUUUGAGGUGCUUCAUGGGGUUGGGUAGGUGGCUUAUGAGCUUGCUUUGCCGCCCAUCUUGUCGAGUGUGCAUCCGGUAUUUCAUGUUUCUAUGCUCCGGAAGUAUAUUGGAGAUCCCUCUCAUGGUUUGGACUUUAGCACAGUUCAGCUGGAUGAUGAUUUGACCUAUGAUAUGGAGCUAAUAGCCAUUUUGGGUCGUCAGGUUCAAAAGUUGAGGUCAAAAGAUAUAGCGUCAGUGAAAGUGUAGUGGAGGGGUCGGCCCGUGGAGUAGGCUACCUGGUAGACAGAGCGGGAGAUGCAGAGUAGAUAUACUCACCUAUUUGAGGCUUCAGGUAUGUUUUUUGACUCGUUCGAGGACAAACGUUUGUUUAAGUUGGGGAGGAUGUGACGACCAGCCCAGUCGUCUCAUGAGUACCGCUCCAUUUCCUCCAUUUCAGCUUCUUUAUGCUUCGUUAUCCAUGUUUUGUGGUAUCGGGUUGGUCGGAUUGAGUUCGGAAUGAGUUUUGUGAAGUUUGAGACACUUAGUCUCUUUUAAGAAGGCUUAGGUUGGAAAAGUCAAUCGGAUGUUGACUUAUGUGUUAGAGGGCUCGGAUAUGAGUUUUGAUGGUUCGGUUAGCUUCGGGAGGUGAUUUGUGACUUAUGAGCGUGAUCAGAAUGGGUUGUGGAGGUUCGGAGUAGACUUAGGCUUGAAUUGGCGAAAUUGAUAUUUUGGCGAAUUCCGGUUGAUAGGCGAGAUUUUGAUAUAGGGGUCGGAAUGGAACUCCGAGAGUUGCAGUAUCUUCGUUGUGUCAAUUGGGAUAUGUGUGUAAAAUUUCAGGUCAUUCGGACGUGCUUUGGUUGGGUUUUUGAUCAAAAGCGUAUUUCGAAAUUUUUUAGAAACUUAGGCUUGAAUCCGAUGUGAUUUGGUAGAGUUGAUGUUGUAUGGGGUGUUUUGAUGAUUGGAACAAGUUUGAAUAAGGUAUUGGGUUAUGUUUGUGCUUUUAGUUGAGGACUCGGGGGUCCUCGGGAUGAUUUCGUGUGGUUAACGGGGAAGUUGAAGUGUAAUUGCAGCUGCUGAAGUUUUGUUGCUUCUGGUGUUUUCGCACCUGCGGUUUGGGGACUGCAGGUGCGGCGCCGCAUAUGCGUUGGAUUGUCCGCAAAAGCGGAUCUUGGGAAGAAUGUCUGGAACCGCAGAUGCGGUAGAGGGACCGCACCUGCAGAGUCGUAGAUGUGGCUAGUAGACCGCAGAUGCGGUUUAGGCUGGAUUAAUGAAUUUCCACAGAAGUGGAGUUUUGACCGCAAAUGCGGUACCGCAAAUGCGGUACCGCAGAUGCGGUGGGUGUGCUGCAGAUGUGGAAAAGCCUGGGCAAAAUGUAUAUAUUUCUUCCUUCGCGAUUUUUGAACGGUUUAACCAUUUUUAAACUCGGAAUUGGAAGCUUUGGGCAAUUUUGAUGAGAGAAAUCAAAGAGACUUCAUUAAGGUAAGGAUUUUAGACCUAAAACACACUACUAUGGUAAUAUUUCAUGGAUUAAGGCUGCAAUUAAAGGAAUUAAAAGGAGGCCUUAAAUUGAGAAUUUGAGGGGUCAUUUGAACUCCGAUUUUGGUACUCUUGAUACGUAUAGACUCGUGGGGAGAUAAGGAAUCUAAUGAUGUGAAAAUUUUUGAGUUUUGAGAAGUGGGCCCGGGGCUCGGGUUUUGAUAAUUUCGGGAUUUUUGGUAUUUUUCGAUUGUUUUCACUUGGGCUUCAUUCCUUUAGCAUAUUUUGACGCCGUGAUUCUGAUUUUGAAUAGAUUCGACGUGAGUGGACGCUGAUUCGAGGGGCAAAGGCAUUNNNNNNNNNNNNNNNNNNNNNNNNNNNNNNNNNNNNNNNNNNNNNNNNNNNNNNNNNNNNNNNNNNNNNNNNNNNNNNNNNNNNNNNNNNNNNNNNNNNNNNNNNNNNNNNNNNNNNNNNNNNNNNNNNNNNNNNNNNNNNNNNNNNNNNNNNNNNNNNNNNNNNNNNNNNNNNNNNNNNNNNNNNNNNNNNNNNNNNNNNNNNNNNNNNNNNNNNNNNNNNNNNNNNNNNNNNNNNNNNNNNNNNNNNNNNNNNNNNNNNNNNNNNNNNNNNNNNNNNNNNNNNNNNNNNNNNNNNNNNNNNNNNNNNNNNNNNNNNNNNNNNNNNNNNNNNNNNNNNNNNNNNNNNNNNNNNNNNNNNNNNNGGCGCACAUGCUAGGUGACGAGCGCGUGGGUGUGAACCGGUAGGGAUUGCGACCUGAUCUGUCCCGUAGCGACUACUAAGCCGAGUAUUUGAUUUGGAAAUACUAUGUUAUUCCGUAUUUUGGAUAUUUAUACUAUAUUAUGGGUUGUAUGCCAUGUUUGGGGCCUUGUGCCGACCUGUAGAAACCCUUGGUGGCAUUUUGAUUGUUUUUCCUCACUUUACUUGCUAAAAGCAUAUCCUCAGUCGUGUUUUACCUAUUUAAAAGCUAAAAUUGGUUUUAUCGCUUUACUCCUAAUUGUGAGGAUUGUUUGGGCUGAGUUCCCUAAUUCAUGUUGUUGUGCCCGAGAGGUUGUGAGGUUAAAGACUGAGAGAUGUUGAGAACUCAAUUGUGAGGAUAUUAUAUGUAUAUAUUAUGGAUCGGGCUGCAUGCAACAUCGAUACUUAUAUAGAUCGAGUUGCACGCCGCAUCGAUAUAUAUAUAUAUAUAUAUAUAUAUAUAUAUAUAUUGUAUCGGGCUGCACGCCGCAACGGUUACUAUGAUUUCUAUUAUUAUGAGAUAUAAAUGAGCUGAGUGCUGAGAGUGAGUACUGAGUGACGAGAGUUGAGUCACGAGUGACGGAGAGGCUGCCCGAGGGGCCAGAUUUUGAGUGAUUCCUUGCUCGAGAAGCCUUGUCAUGAUGUUUUCACUGAUUUCAUUUUCUUUUAAAUAAGCCUCUGUUUGAUAUACUGCUAAGUAAUUGGUUCCAAAUGUUUAAACUGGAAAUGUGGUUUUAUAACAAAAACUGAUUUUUGAACUGUAAAGAUGACAUGUUAUUUCGUUGGUUAUUCCGUUAUGUAUUUUUGAACUUCUCGUCACUACUUUCAGACCUUAUUUACUUUAGUUACUUACUGAGUUGGCGUACUCACGUUACUCCCUGCACCUUGUGUGCAGAUCCAGGUGCCCGAGCAGCCGAGUGAGCAUUAUUCAGCUGGUUCAGUUUUUUGUCGGGGAUUUCGAAGUAGCUGUAUGGCGUUCGUAACCCUGUUCUCUCCCUUCUAUCUUGUUAUCUUUUCAGCAUUUUCUAGACUAUCUAUGUAGUAGGAUGUUCGGACUUGCAUUAGAGGCUCUAGACUCGUGACACCAGAUCAGUUGGGCUAUGUAGUUUAUUAUUAUUUUGCCUUCCGUAUAUUUUCUGUCAUUUUAAACAUUUAUUAUGAAAUCGGUGUUUAAAACUCGUGUUGGAAAUGUUUUCUUACUAAUGGAAAUGGGUUGUGGUUAGUGGACUGGUUGGCUUGCCUAGUAAUGGGAUAGGCGCCAUCACGACCGGUAUUUUGGGUCGUGACAGUAGUAUGCUUUAUGUGCAUUUUAAAUUUAUCAUCGUGAUUGUGUACACGUUUGCGUGACAUAAUAAUGAUUUUUAAAAUAAAUCGAGGUAUGCGUUCGCAACUUCGACCAAACUUUCUCUCUUUAUUUGUGGACACGUACGCUUGACAUGAUUUUUGACGCGCCAAACUAAUGGGUACACAUGCGUGUGACCUGUUUUAAGAUAAUUUCUUAAUUAAAAGAGGCAAACGCACAUAUGUUCUAAAUGAAUAAUUAAACAAUUUAUUUAAGCCAAGUAUGAUUAAAGCGACCAUGCUAAAACUAUAAAAUUCGGGAAUGCCUAAUACCUUCUCCUGGGUUAACAGAAUUCCUUACCUAGAUUUCUGUGUUCGCAGACCAUAAAUAGAGUCAAAUUUUCUCGAUUCGGGAUUUUAAACCGGUGACUUGGAACAUCAAUAAACUAUCCCAAGUGGUGACUCUGAUUUAAAUAAAUAAUCUUAUUGCAAUCAAUGUCACUUUAAUUGAAAAAACUCCCUUAUAUCCCCCUCGGAAAAAAGGAGGUGUGACAGCUCUGGCGACUCUGCUGGGGACAAGAACCCAGAACUUCUGGUUCAGGGUUCAAGAAUUCGAGCUUUUUAAUAUUAUUUUAUUUGGCUUUAUUUAUUGUUAAUAUUACCGUAUUUUUAUGAACCUAAUGUGCUAACUGUUGUUUAUUUACCAUUUCGAUAUGGUUAGAAUUGUAUUAAAAUGUCUUCUUACGCCACCCCUCUGCGUCUUCUAAAAAUGGUGCACACGUUUGCAUGGCCCACUUUUUCUAUUAGAAGUUAUACCAAAUAGAACGAGGCUGGGCCAGCAACAAGACCAAGUAGACUUUCGUGCUCCCAGUACGUUGCUCCCUCUUCGGCUCGAGUUGUCCGCUCAGGUAAGCCAGGUCAAGAACACAACCCUAGGUUUAAACGUAGAAUAACAUAGCCUCAUGCCGGAUCCCUAGUAGGAACUUUUGUCUGCAUCAUGUGCAUUUGACUUAGGGGACUCAACAUAGGGGUUGGGUCCGUCUAUGACAAGUGUACCCGAAAUGAAAGACUAUUCUGAUUCAUCUUAUGUGCUAUUUGUACAUUUAUUUGCUUCGGCUUGUAUGUUGACAUGCUAGGAAAAUAAAAUCAAGAGAAAAACUAAGAGUUAUGUAGGAAGGAAAUUGUCACGACCCAAAUCGAUGGGCCGCGACGGACACUCGAUACCUUACUCAACCGAGUACCAACGUAACGUAUCUUUCUUAUUACAUCAUCAUAUACACAUGACAUAGAAGCCUAAUAGGCCGACAUGAUCCUUUAUAAACUCAAAACAUAGUCCGACAAGUCCGUACAAUCUUUUACGUAUACGACAUAUGUCUACAACCAUCUAAGAAUACAUAAAUGUCAUAAAGGUCGGGACAGAGUCCCGCCAUAGCAAACAAUACACGUCUAAAUCAUACUAACCAAACGAGCAACUCCGAAGCAAAUGGAGAGCACCAACGUCUUCCACCGAGCUGAUAGCCUACUUGGAGGACUCCCUACCUGUCUAUCGGGACCUGCGGGCAUGAAACGCAGCGUCCCCAGGCAAAAAGGACGUCAGUAUGAAUAAUGUACCGAGUAUGUAAGGCACAUAAAUAAAUACAUAAGAGACAUGGAAGACAUAUAGAGUACAUGACUCAACCUGUAAGUCUGAAUAACUUAGUAAAUCAUAAAUUACUUUUAGCAUCAUGCGUAUGCAUAUGAAUGUCAUGUCGUGCAUAGGUACAUGUUUCAUAACAUCAUCAGCCUCUAAGGGCAUCACAUCAUAUCAUAUCGGCCAUUGUGGGCAAAAUCAUCAUCGUAUACCAGCUGAUCAGGUGGUGGUGCGUAUAUAAUUCCAUAACCUUUCCUAUAUCCCAUAUACGUAUAUAUACAUACAUAUAUACGCAUAUAUAACGCCGUUUGAAACAUAUUUCAGCCACUGUGGGCAAGAUCAUCAUCAUAUACCAGCUGAUCAGGUGGUGGUGCAUAUAUAACGCCGUAACCUUUUCCCAUAUCCCAUAUACAUAUAUUUACUUAUAUACGUGUAUAUAACGCCAUAUGGUCAUGGGUCAAUGCACAUUUAUGAAAUGCAUGAAAAGUACAUUAAUAAAAUCUUUUGGAAUUUCAUAAGACCAUUUUGUCUUUGAGCAAUAUCAUAAAGUAAACUCUUUUCAACUUUCGUAUUUUUUUUUUGAGACGCAUAAACAUAUGAUAAAAUAUUAUGACACAUGGAAAUUCAAGAACAUAGAUACCUCUAAUACUUUUAUGAAUAGAGUCAUUCAUGAAAUUUGUGUAUUUGCACGUUUCGUUCGUAUCAUAUGGAUCAUGCCAAAAUAAAGAAGGGAUAGUCUUAACAUACAUGGAGUAAGAAAAACUCCGUAUAAUAUUCUUGAAGAUUGCACCGUACUCUUUUGGAACCGUAAAAUUUUACGUUGCUACGAUUCUAACAAUUUUUGUUGGAAACCUUUGUGGAUUGAAUUUAGAACCCCAAAAUCGGAUUGAAUUUUUGCUUCUGUCUUUGAAUCCUUGAACGAACAAAGCUCCAGUUCAUUGAAUUAUUUGGAAAGAAUCAAGCUUCUGCUUUAUGAAGCAUUUGAUCGAACUUGGCUUUCGAAGCAAUUUGAAGCUAGAAAAUGGUAUAUAGGAUUCUUACUUGGUAUUGAACGUUUAUGAAUUUUCUUGUCCAAGUCUUAGUUCAAAUGAAAGACAAGUCUUUAUUCCAAUGGAAAAUAAGACUUAUAACAAGUCUUGUUUUGUAAUUCUCACAUUACCUUAGGUAGCCACCUAAGCAUUUUGGACUCUUAGUCACUUAGUUUGGUUAAUUUAAUGGCUGCCACGUUUUUGGCAGGCUUAUCUCUCCAAGACUUCAAAUAAUCCAUCACCACUUAUUAAUUAACUAGGUAAUGUCCCGUUACCCGGUAAUUAACCAAUUACCAGCAAAAUUGAGAAUUACUACCACUUACUUAAAAUAUUAGUCACUUUUCACAUACCUUAUACACCUUACUAGUUUGGUCAUGUGGUACCUCGCAUGACACUAGUCCAUAAAUACUGUGUAUUUUAGCUCCGGCCGUAUUUUACCCCAAAUUGCCAAACUUGGACAAAAUUCACUUUCUUUGACUUGCUCCUCGUUUCACCUUCAUGAAUUUACUAAUCGCUUGUGAAAUAGCAUAAUACUAAUAUUCUCCAAAUAAUCUUUUACUUGGACUGUUGUCAAUUACCUUACGACAAAUUCAACGUACAAUACUAUAGGGUGCAACAUCUUCGUAACUUAAUACUGCGAAGUGUGGCAUUACCGUAAUGUAAUACUGCUGGGUAGAACAUUGUCGUAACUUAAUACUGCUGAACGUAACAUCAUCAUAAUAUAUUACUGUAGAAGGUGACAUCAUCGUAACAUAUUGCUGCAGAGCAUAACAUUGUCAUAAUAUAAUACUACGGGACGUAAUAUCGACGUAAUAUUCCAGGGUGUAACAUCAUUCCCCUCUUUGGAACAUUCGUCCUCGAAUGUUCGCUAAUGCUCUUAUCAUUUUCUUAACUUAUAUCUUCUGAACACUUUAGAACUUUCCUUGCUAUCUAGGCGACUGUUCUGUGAAUAAGUCCAAAGUCUAGGACAUCCCCCCAUAGGCCUCCUUCUCACACCACAACUUUUAGUCGGAUUCCUUCCAAUCUCGUAACCGUUGCUACCUUUCAUCAUGCAGCAUGUAUAGUUCUGAUCUUGUAAGUGUGCCUAAUCUCUAGGCUUCACAUGUAGAGCUUGAUAAGACGUCCCUUUGGGUCUUUAUGACUAUACUGAAGUUCUUCGCUCGGUACUUGGUUGAAUUCACAAAUAUUGUUAUAUCUCAUUGCAUAGGACCGUUUAACCAUCCGUAUGAAUUUACUGCCAUAACUCUUACUUUAGUUUAUCGUGGCUGAGGUCUGCUACCAUAUCCCAGCUUACUCUCGUUGCUCAUUCCAUAUAUAUAAAUUUAAGUCCUUUAAUGUUUCCUCAUUACUGUUUAACUUUAGAAUGACGGUCUAAUCUUAUCUCAUACUUUGUAACUUUUGUCCAUCCAUUGUUGAUUCACCUCAAUAUUGAUCUACAAUGUAUUGUUGAUAACUUGAAACCUCUUAUGUAAUCACUAGGGCCUUGCGUUGAUUGUGAAAUAUUUGAAGUGAUUUUUCUGAUCCACCUAGGGCGAUACUAUACUCCCAUAACGGUAUUUCAUAGCAUUCUUGUGUGGCUUACCUUACGUGGCUAUUUUAAUUUUAAUCCCGUACAAUUCGUGAAAUCCUCUUCAAAUCAUUACUCAAUCGAAAGUACAAACGUCAUUCUUUAUCCAUCACAACUACAACCUCAUUCUACUACUAGGGCAGUAUUCCAUUUCUUCUAAAUGCCAUUAGUCUUAGACCCCUUUGAGUUCAUCCAGGCUAUACUGAGCUUUGUAUACCUUAGAGAAACCAUUAGCUCUUCUUGUUUUCAUAGGCUUAAUCGUGAGGACUUAUCCAUUCUCGUCGCCUUCUCACUCGCCCUUUCUUAUCCUUAUUCCCGACUUCCUAAAACCUUGUCGCUUUACCAUACUUUAAUUUUCCACUUACGCAUAUCCAUUUAUACUAUUCGCAACCUCCUUUCAACGUGCUUGUAUCACAGAUUUCCUUGUGUUAUUCUUGAACAUCAAGCGAGAUAUCAUAUCAUCUCUAACUCUUAUUUACUCUCUUAACUAGACCUCUCGAUACUUAGAAACUGUAGGUUGGAAGAUAUUCCGGUGAAGAUGCUGCUAUCAUUCUCGGACAUUGAAUCCUCGUGCUUCUGGGCCUUUUAUCUAAAGUAUGGACUAUUUACGAUCUUCUUCCUAUGAGUAACUCAUACGUUGUUCACCUUUACCUUACUUACCUUAAAAUCGCGCAUCGUAUCAUCUAUCUCUUUCCUGACCUUCCUUCCACCUGGAUGUAACUCACGUCCAUAACUUGAAGCUCUAUUAUAAUACUCGUACCUCUGGUAUAUACACAAUCCGAUGGGAGCAUCGUACUGACUUCUUAUGAGGCUGGUACUUCUUCUAACUGGAUUCCUUAUAGAGCCAUUAUAUAUUAUGGUUGUUGUGUUAUUUCUCUUAAACAUCUGAUUUUAAGAGUGAUUCUGUCAUGUUCUCAAGCACAACGUUUAUAAUUUCUCUAGGUCCAAUAAUCAGGCUCCUAAUUUACUUAGGUGAUGUAAUUCUUUAGUUUCCUUUUCCUUCUGAUCGGCCUUUACGUAGGCUUAAGCUAUCUUCCAAUCCAUGGCUCAUGGUAUCAGUUAUUACCUUAGCCUUUCAUGGGUGUUAUGGAAUAUCCAUGAUACAAUCUUCUAACAAUUAAAUCCUUUGUCUAUUCCCUGGGCUCAAUUCUUUCUUUUAGCUUAUACCGGAGUUUUCUAUGGCUUUAUGACUGUCAACAAAUAUGUUACCUGGAUAAUGCUCCGAAAUCUUGAGUGUAUCCAUAACGUACUAAUUCUGGAUCAUCGAACAAAUAAUUCUUUCGUUCCAUCUUAGCUUUCUUUCAACGUAAGCUAUUACUUUUCCUGGUCUUUCUGCCUCUUGUUGCGUCCAUACUUAGCUUAUCUUAGUGCCACACUUGCCAGAGUUUUCAUACAACUCAUAUGAUAUCGAAUAUUACUUUUAAUUCUUACUUCCCGUUCAUUAGCCGCGAUAGGUACCAAUUUCCUUUGGAAUGCUUACAAUGUUGUUGCGAGAUUGUUGUUACACGACCAUUUCCUCUUUAGGUUGUUGCACUUAGGUUGAAGCCUUCUUUCUUAUCUCCUCAGCUAGUCUUUCGUUGUAGUAUUAGGGAGAACCCUCGACUCUCGUAAAGUUGUGAGCUUAUUACGGCCUUUUUUUUGAUAUCCUUACUUUCCUAUAAUCAUCCGUAGUUGCUUACUUUCAUGCCCUUGUGCUUAUAUGGUUGCUUCUGAACUGAUAUUUUGACUGCCUUUCCAGUGGCACUUUUUUUAUCCCCGUAACACUCAUAUGAUACCUUAACUACCCCGAAUCUUGUUUGAAUAUAUCUCAAGUAUUAUAAUGAUAUUCUCCGAGGCUGAAUUCUCCAUGUUGGGUUUUACUAUGUUUAUCUUACACGCUCUGAUGACUCGUCUGUAACCGCCUGUUUAGCUAUAACUAAGAUCUUCCUGGACAAUUACUAACUACUCGUUGGCCCAUUCUCAUAUCAAUAUUCCUCGUAAUCUUUCUUGGGUUAUUUGCUUUGUUUUAACUUAUGUUUCGUACUGGAUCCUUAAUUAUCAAUAACAUCUUGGGAAGGAGCCCUUAGUUCUUCUCUUUGACGUCGCGUUUGCAUAACGUUCUAGAAUCGUAGCAUAUCUGUAGUAUUUGGAUAAGUUCAAUCUUAUCACUUUCUCAUUUUUAUCGCAUUCUUCCUUUACCAGUCCAUAGUCAUUAGAACCACUUAAUUCUGACUUAAUGUCACAUUUACAUCACUCCAUAUUCCCUCUUUAGGGGUGUACUGAGAGUUUGAGCUAUGACGACCAUCCUAUAGAUGUUUUACCUCUUCAUCUUUGGCGUCUUUCUCAACAUCAAUGAUCCUUACUUGCCUUGCGGCAAUCCUUCUGUACAAAGGAUGACAAAUUCCCUUACUCGCGAGGGUGACACUUAAUGUAACUGGUACAUACAGUCCUUUAAGCUUAACUUUGCUAACAUUGCUUGCUUUAGGGAAGCGUCUUCCUGAAUGACCAUUCUCUGAAUUUCUCAUGAAUCUUCUUCUGUUGUCCAUCCUAUUAUUGCCGGAACGCGAUCUGAAAUUCUCAUGAUGCUGACUAUUAUCAAAUCACUCAGUCCCUUGCUCAUAUUUAGUUUAUCUUACUCACCAGUCCAUACUGAUUUCUAUUAUCUACGGUCUAACUUUUCCUUUUAUUAAUCACGUUAGAGUCGCAAAUAUUUCUCGAAAUGGGGAUAUGACUGUAUGGCCUAUACUUUUUUGUUGUCCUAAGGACUGUCACCUCUCGUCUCUUCAUUCACUUGACUAUAGAUUUUGUAAUAUAGUCAUAUUUUGAUCUACCGUUGUCCUCCAUGUAACACAUCUUUCUCAUUAUACUUCAUUAACUCUUUUCUUAUUUCUCGCUAACAUUUAUGUCAAUCACUUUAUUCUAAAAACUCAAACAAGACCUUCUUUUGCUUUUAGCUUCCCUUUGCUCCAUCCAGUGGCUCUUCAAAUUGCUUAACGUUCUUGCUUUACUAGGGACGCGAGCCAUACUAAGGUAAUAUGCAUCCCUGCAAGGCUUAUAGUGCAUGUCUUUGUAGUACUCAUAUCUGGCUACACUAUUUUAGAGUGUACCAUCUGGGAGUCUCACAAGGAGAUCUACUAGCACACUUGCAAUAUCUUUCGGAAAUAUCAACUAACACAAAUAAUCCAUUCACCAUUUUGGUUUACUCUAACCUCAGCCAGGUCCUGAUGUUCCGUCCUUUUCUUAAACUACACCUGUUAGCCCCCAUAGGGCAUAACUGAGAUGGGUACGGCAAAUUGCACAUACCUCUGUUACUAUUGAAUAUAAAUCAAAAAUCUUAUGUUCCUCUGCCUCAAUUAUAAAUGUUGUUAACCUUUAUUAGCUGGGCACCUUGUACCCUUCUUCUUCUUGCUUCUUCUGCUUGUUGAAACUUGUAUUUAUCUUCUUAAUCUCUCAUUGUCUUUCACCAUAAAGAUGGAUAGAUAUUCUUGCCCUAAGGGUUCUUAUCAGGAAGCUUACACCUUUCAGUAUACCCAUGAUAUACUAAAGACCUCACAUUUACUUAUCGUAAGCAUCAUACAAUAAUCCAAUUCCUCUCACUCAGCUCUUCCACAAUUAUCUCUCUUUCCAACCUGCUUUCUAGAUGUAGGUGUUAUCUUAUUACGAAUAAAAUAAAAUUUUGAAAUUUGAAUCUUAUAAGUGAACUCUAUCACAAGAUCUAGAGUAAGAAGAAAGAGUGACAGUCUUAAAUGCCCUGUAGCCUCCUGCUUAUAAGUGUGGUGCACGACACACCCAUAAUCAAGACUCUACUAGACAUGGCAUGGAGACUCACUAGGACAGAACUGCUUCGAUACCACUUUUGUCAUGACCCAAACCGAUGGGCCGUGACGGGCACCCGGUACCUCACUCAACUGAGUACCAGCAUAACGUAUCUUUCUUAUUACAUCAUCAUAUACACAUGACAUACGGGCCUAAUAGGCCAACAUGAUCCUUUAUAAACUCAAAACAUAGGUCCUACAAUCUUUUACAUAUACGACAUAUGUCUAUAAGCCUCUAAGAAUACAUAAAUGUCAUAAAGGUCGGGACAGAGUCCCGCCAUACCUAACAAUACAUGUCUAAAUCAUACUAACCAAACGAUCAACUCCGAAGCAAAUAGAGCGCACCAACAUCUUCCGCCCAACUGAUAGCCUAAUUGGAGGGCUCUCGACCUAUCUAUCGGGACCUACGGGCAUGAAACGCAGCGUCCCCAGGCAAAAGAGACGUCAGUACAAAUAAUGUACUAAGUAUGUAAGGCACAUAAAUAAAUACAUAAGAGACAUGGAAGACAUACAACGUACAUGACUCAACAUGUAAGUCUGAAUAUCUUUGUAAAUCAUAAAUUACUUUUAGCAUCAUGCGUAUGCGUAUGAAUGUCAUGUUGUGCAUAGGUACAUGUUUCAUAACAUCAUGAGCCUCUAAGGGCAUCCCAUCAUAUCAUAUCGGCCACUAUGGACAAAAUCAUCAUCGUAUACCAGCUGAUCAGGUAGUGGUGUGUAUAUAACGACAUAACAUUUCCCAUAUCCCAUAUACAUAUAUACGCAUAUAUAACGACGUUUGAAUAAUAUUUCAGUCAAUGCGGGCAACAUCAUCAUCAUAUACCAACUGAUCAGGUGGUGGUGCGUAUAUAACGCCGUAACCUAUUCACAUAACCCAUAUACAUAUAUUUACAUAUAUAUGCGUAUAUAACGCCAUCUGGUCAUGGGUCUAUGCACAUGUAUGAAAUGCAUGAAAAGUAUGUUAAUAAAAUCUUUCGGAAUUUCAUAAGACCAUUUUGUCUUUGAGCAAUAUCAUAAAGUAAACUCUUUUCAACUUUCGUAUUUUUUUCAGAGACCCAUGAACAGAUGAUAGAAUAUUAUGACACAUGGAAAUUCAAGAACAUAGAUACCUCUAAUACUUUUAUAAAUAGAGCCAUUCAUGAAAUUUGUGCAUUUGCACGUUUUGUUCGUUUCAUAUGGAUCAUGGCAAAAGAAAGAAGGGAUAGCCUUAACAUACCUGGAGUAAAGAAAACUUCGUAUAAUAUUCUUGAAGAUUGCACCGUACUCUUUUGGAACCGCAAAAUUUUACGUUGCUACGAUUCUAACAAUUUUUGUUGGAAACCUUCGUGUAUUGAAAUUAGAACCCCAAAAUCGAAUUGAAUUUUUGCUUCUGUCUUUGAAGCCUUGAACGAACCAAGCUCCAGUUCAUUGAAUUAUUUGGAAAGAAUCAAGCUUCUUCUUUAUGAAGCAUUUGAUCAAACUUGGCUUUUGAAGCAAUUUGAAGCUAGGAAAUGGUAUAUAGGAUUCUUAUUUUGUAUUGAACGUUUAUGACUUUUCUUGUCCAAGUCUUAGUUCAAAUGAAAGACAAGUCUUUAUUCCAAUGGAAAAUAAGACUUAUAACAAGUCUUCUUUUGUUAAAUUCUCACAUAACCUUAGGUAGCCACCUAAGCAUUUUGGACUCUUAGUCACUUAAAUUUGUUAAUUUAAUGGCUGCCAUGUUUUUGGCAAGCUUAUCUUAUCCAAGAGUGCAAAUGAUCCAUCACCACUUAUUAAUUAAAUAGGUAAUGUUCCGUUACCCGAUAAUUAAUCAAUUACCCGCAAAAUUGAGAAUUACUCCCACUUACUUAAAAUAUUACUUACUUUUCACAUACCUUAUACACCUUACUAGUAUGGUCAUGUGGUACCUCGCAUGACACUAAUCCAUAAAUACCAGAUAUUUUAGCUCGGGCCGUAUUUUACCCAAAAAUGCCAAACUUGGACAAAAUUCACUUUCUUUGACUUGCUCCCCCUUUCACCUUCAUGAAUUUACUAAUCGCUUGUGAAAUAGCAUAAUCCUUAUAAUCUCCAAAUAAUCUUUUACUUGAACUGAUGUCAAUUACAUUACGACAAAUUCAACGUACAAUACUACGGGGUGCAACAUCGUCGUAACUUAAUACUGCGAAUUGUGACAUUACUGUAAUCUAAUACUGCUGGGUAGAACACUGUCGUAACUUAAUACUGCUGAACAUAACAUCAUCAUAAUAUAUUACUGCGGAGGGUGACAUCAUCGUAACAUAAUAUUGUAGAGCAUAACAUAAUAUAAUAUUGCGGGACGUAAUAUCGACGUAAUAUUACGGGGUGUAACAGAAAUAAAGCCCGGUUCUGAAAACUCCGGUAUUUGAAAUUUUCCCGAAAUUCUGCUGAAAUUUUUCAAAAAAAGCAUUGCAAAAAAAAAAGAAAAUAAAAAAGAAGGAAAAAUAGUCAUUUCAAAAUGAGUCAAUAUCAUAUUUUUUUCAGUUAUGUCAAAACGACCGAACUAUGCGGGUCUAAUUCUCAUCGAAUGCGAGAUACGUAGGCAAACUUCAUCGGUUCCGGCCCCCAAUUUUCAAAAAAUCCAAAAAUAUUUUCCUCGACUUCCUUCUUUAGAAAAGUCUUUUUUUGAGACAACAAUUUUCAAAAAAAUCCAAAAAUAUUUUUCAGUACUUGCUUCUUUAGAAAGUCUUCCUUUUAGACCCCAAUUUUUGAAAUUACAAAAAUANNNNNNNNNNNNNNNNNNNNNNNNNGUUUAUUUACUUUAUUCCUGAUCUUCCCGAACUACGCAAGAUUUGAUUCUUGUUCCCACAUGAUACGUAGGCAACCCACAUCAGGUUCGACCAUAUGAUUUUGAAAAAACAAAAGAAAAGAAGGUAACAAAAAAAUAUAGUUGAUAAUAAUAAGGACCGACUGAGUCCAUUCUAAUGUGUCUUUUAUUUUGAAUUGUAAAGAAAGUUUGAGGUGGUCGGUUUGUGGUAAGCUGGCAACACAUGAUCCAAGGGAAAAAUGUCAUUGACAACUGAUAUCGAAGCUGUUACAAGUGCUCAAGAAACUCAGGGUCAUAGGGUUCAACAAGAGUCUACUGUGGUUGAGGAAAAUAGAAUACUGAAAUAGCAAAUGACCAAAAUGUAUCAAGCAUGGGCCAAUAGCAAAGGACAGCCCUGUCAUGAGUCACAAUUUGCCACCCAGCAAGAGCAGUACCACUCUCCUUAGUACCACUCGUACUUGUUUGAUCUUCCUGCAAACAUUGAGAAGCAUGCCCGAAAGAUGGAAUAGGAAGAAAUGACCCAAAGAGUGAAAAACUUAGAACAACGGUUGAAAAACAUGCAAGGGUUGGCAGGUCAAAAGAGUAUUGCCUUCAAGGAUCUAUGUAUGUUCCCCGAUGUCCACUUGCCGCCUGGUUUCAAGACUCCAAAAUUUGAAAAGUAUGAUGGACAUGGAGACCCCAUAGCCCACCUGAAAAAGUAUUGCAAUCAACUAAGAAGUACGGGAAGAAAUGAAGAAUUGCUAAUAACUUAUUUUGGGGAAAGCCAUACGGGAGUAGCAUCCGAAUGGUUUAUGGAUCAAGACACGUCUCGCUGGUAUGUCUAGGAUGACAUGGCACAGGCCUUUAUCAAACAGUUCCAAUACAACAUUGAUAUUGCCCCAGACCGUAAUUCCAUUUCAAACCUGAAGAAGAAACCAACUGAAAGUUGCUGGGAAUAUGCCAUUAAAUGGAGAGAGCAAGCAACUAGAGUUAAGCCACCCAUGGAUGACGACGAACUAAUCACUGUCUUUCUUCAGGUUCAAGAGCUAGAUUAUUUUCAAAACAUGAUGUCUGCAGUGGGUAAAUCCUUCUCGGAAGCAAUCAAAAUGGAGGAAAUGAUUGAGAAUGGUCUUAAGAUAGGCAAAAUUAUAAGUCAAGCAGUUCUCAAAGCCGGAACUCAGGCUGUCCAGAUUGAAUCUGAUAAUUUUACUGACACAAAUAAGAAGGACGAAGAAAUCAUAAUGACAUUAGGGUUGAGAAGAGGUCCUGGCAGGGCAUCUCGAAGGUACGACCAGCCUCGUUGGUUUUCCGAUGAUGCUCGUGAGCACUAGUAUCCACUUCAGAACUCACAAUACUCUAUCGCUCCACCUCAGUAUGUUGUCCAGCCACCAAAACACCCCAGAAGGCAAGCACGAGCAUCACAAAAUCUCCACCAGCCUCUACAAAAUUUUUAGGUUCCCUAUAACCCACAUCCAAGCCAGAGGGAAUAAAGGGGAACACAGGUUGAAAAAUGAUUUUACAAUAAUAGGAGAGUCCUAUGCAAGCUUAUUUGAGAAGUUAAAGCAUUAUGACAUGAUUGCACCCAUUCCUCCAAAUCAUGUAGACCCACGUGCAAGAAGAUUUGACCCUUCUAAAAGGUGUGAAUACCAUUCUAAUGUCCAUGGGCACAAUGUCGAAAGCUGUCGGGAUUUGAAAAGAGAAAUAGAAAGGAUGAACCAGGAAAAGUUGAUUAUGAUCCAAGAUAUUGACACCCAGAAUAUCACGCAGAAUUCUUUAACUGAACACGAUGAUGCACACUUUGUAGGGAUGAUGCGUGGUGACAUGGAGAAUGAGAAUCCUCUAGGAAACUUGCCGACUGAAAUUGGAGAAGGCCAUGGUGAUUCUGAUGAGCAAAUUUUUGGCUAAAUGUCAAGCUUAGCAAUUGAAAAGUCAUUCCCUCCUCACUAGGAAGGAAUCUCGGUAGCUUGUUUUGAUGUUUUUUCUAUUAUCUGGGUUAUUUCAGGGUUGUGAUCCAGAUUUUAUUUGUUUGAUUGAGUCAAACCCUUCUAUCCCUCCAUUCUAUCUGUGUGAGUCUUGCCCGUUUGUUCUGUUGAUAUUUUCAUUAUUCGGGUUAUUUUAGGGUUUUAACUCGGAUCUUAUGUUGGUUGUCUUGUUGUCAAAUCCUUUCAUCCUUUAUUCAAUAAAAUACAAUUUGUCCUUUUGUUUCAUUCUGUUACUAGUUCUUUACUCACUAGUUAUAAUGACAUGAGAUGCGUGCGGAAAUUUUGGCCAGAUCUUAAGAAUUGAUUUAAUAUGGAAUUGGAUAAAAAACAAAAAAAAACACUUUUGAAGAUGAAUAAAUAGAGUUGAAAUACUUUAAAAUUAAGGUCGAAUAAAAUUCACCUUCAAAUCAUUGUGAAGAUCGGCCUUGAGGAUGUUUAAUCAAUUGAAGUCUGUUGGAAAGUUUGACAUUAGGGGAUGAAAAAUGUUUUGUGACCACGACACACCAAGAAGAAAUCAUGUUCGUCAAUGUUGUGAUCACGAAAAGAUACUAUGUUUGGCGUUUUCGAGGUUGGGAGGCCCUUUUUCUGCUACCCAAAUACUUUAUACCCUUUGUCACCCCUUUGAGCCUGUGUUAUUUUCUUUGACCACCCUCAAAAAAACUGGGGUAAUUCUUAGAAAAUUCAAGUGAAAAAAAAUGAAUAAGAAAAAAACUGUCAAAGGUCCAUGCACCCAGAAAAUAGAAGUUGGGGCAUUUGUUUGGAAAAAAACAAAAAAAAAGACAAAAGAGAAAAAAAAGAUAAAGAAAAAGAAAGAAAUAUGAAAAAAAUAUAUAGUUAGGUUAGAUGUUUGAACUACGUUUGACCUGAUUCAUUAAAAAAAGGAUAUGUAGGCAGCCUCACGGUUCGGUCUAACCAAAUAAGAAUUCAAAAAAUAAAGAAAAAAAAAAGAAGAAGAAAAUUCCAAAAAUCUCCAAUAGUUGAAACUGGGGCAAAGAUUUUAUUUCACUUUUGAAAGAGUCGAUUCCAAGAGUUGUAAGUCUACAGCCCCCUUUAUUUUGAGACUAUCUUGAACCUUCAUGACGUCCUUUCUUUCCAACCCUAUCCAAAAUCCUUUCAAAUAAAGACUUCCCGAUAGGCCUUCAAGAAUGCUAAGAGAAGAAUGCAAUGACCAACGGUUGUCGCACAACAUAGAACACUAUCAAGUUAAUCAAGAAAGCAACAGAAAAAAAAGAGCCUUGCUAGUGAAAACCUUCACGGGCACUGUAAGGUGACGGUAAGGAGAGAUGAAUAAAUGAGAGAGACUUAUUGGUAAAAACCCCUCGGGGCACCACUAGUCGAAAGUGAGUAAUGAAGCUGAUGCAAAGAAUUGGCACGAACAAGCCCGACUUCAAAGGUCAUAAGAAUGGUAAAAGGGAAGAUUUGGUUAGUUUGAUAGAUCAGGUCGUUGAGUCCAAAAUGCAUGUUAUUAUCAUUAAGGCUAGUUAAAAAAAAUCUUCCUUCUGUCCUUCUGACAGGGGCAUUUCUUGUUAAUACUUGUUUCUUUGCAUCAUUGAGUCCUUCACUUGGAGUCAGUCCUUCUCAAAACAAGCAAGAAAAGAUUUCAAAAUCUGCUACCAGUUUUUCAUUUGUACAAAGUAAAUUUGGCCAGCAAACUCAGUUGCUACUGUCAACAUGCCUUGAGGAUUCAUGCAAAGGCCCCACAAUAGACUCUUGUCAGCCUACUUGGCACAAGCAAAGAUAACUUGUGAUUCUCUCUGACAGACAAAUUGGUCGAAAAGCAGGAAGUCAUUCAAAAUAUCAGAAAAGGUCGCUUAAGCAAAGAUAUUUAGUUGGGACAGGGCUGUUUGAGUUGCAGAUACAAAUGGUACUGGGUGUGAAACAAUUAGGGUUGACGCAGAGCAAAAGUCUCUUGAAACCGACUCAAGCUGAUUGAAGCAGAAGCCAAGCUGCCCAAGGCUCAAGGCCACAAAUCGACCACCAUUUUCAAAACUGAAAAAUUUCUCUUUGUAUGAAACAGGAACAAAGCAGUGCAAGGAAACUAUUCAAAAAAAAAACAAAAAAAAACAAAAAGAAAUAAAAAAAAAGAGAAGAAAAAGAAAAGAAGAGAACAGCCGACAAAGAGAAGUUUGUCAAAUCUUUGCCUUUAUUUGUCUUGCUAUUGUGCAUAAAAUCUUGCCAUUGAUCUUCACAUUUUUUCCUCCUAAGAUUAAAAGUCCUAGUUUGAUAGAUUUUUCUCCCAAUAAAAAUCUUAGUCUGAUGAAUUUUUCUCCUAAGUCUUUCUCCUAGGAUCAAAUCUUAGACUGAUGACUUUUUUCUCCUAAGAUUGAAAAUCUAGUCUGAUGCAUUUUCUCCUAGGAUAAAAAUCUUAGUCUGAUGAAUCUUUCUCCUAAGAUAACAAAAAAAUGACCUAAUCUGAUGAACAUUCUUCUAGGAUCAAAAUUUUAGUCUGAUGAAUUUUUCUCCUAAAAUAGAAGACCUAGUCUGAUGAACUUUCUCCUAGGAUAGAAAUCUUUGUCUGAUGAAUCUUUCUCCUAAGAUACGAAAAAAAAAAGAAAAAAAAAGACCUAGUCUGAUGAACUUUCUCCUAGGAUCAAAAUCUUAGUCUGAUGAAUUUUUCUCCUAAGAUAUAAAAACCUGGUCUGAUGAAUUUUCUCCUAGGAUAAAAAUCUUAAUCUGAUGAAUUUUUCUCCUAAGAUACCGAAAAAGGACCUAGUCUGAUGAACUUUCUCCUAGGAUUAAAAUCUUAGUCUGAUGAAUCUUUCUCCUAAGAUAGGAAAAUUAGUCUGAUGAAUCUUUCUCCUAGGAUAGAAACUUUAGUCUGAUGAAUCUUUCUCCUAAUAAUAACAAGAAAAAAAGAGGACCUAGUCUAAUGAAUUUUCUCCUAGGAUCAAAAUCAUAAUCUGAUGAAUCUCUCUCCUAAGAUUAACGCCUAGUAUGAUGAAUUUUCUCCUAGGAUAAUAAUUUUUUUAAAAAAAAAAGAAGAAGAAGGGAAGUCUGGUUUUGAAAAAAAGAGGAUCAAUUUUUAGUUUUCUUGAAAUCAGGGAUCCUGCCUGGAGAAUAGGGUCAGUUUUUACUUUAGUCAAACUUAGUUUAUAGUUUUUUGCAAGCUCAAUCUUAAAUCUAGGAGACGCUCUUCCUAGUCUGGGUCAUUCAGGUUUUUUUUUAGCAGACACAUUUGCAAGUUGAAGUUUUCUUGGUUUCACUCACAUGAGAUGCACAUCCUAGUCGAGUCUUUAAUUUUACUCUCAUCACUGCAUCCUUCAUCAACAGCUUAGGCGAUUUAUAGCUUUGCUAACAACUCACAUAUAUUCCUGGUGCAAAUUGGGACAGAAAAGUUUCUUUUAUUUUGUCUAUUUUGUAGUAGUAGCAGGCACCCACCUGGAGAACUAGGGAAUUCGUUUCGGAAUUAUUUAAAGUUUAAGUCAGUAGCAGGCACCCACCUAGAGAACAAGGGAAGUUAUUUCAGAAUUAAAUUCAAGUUAGAAGUAGCAGAAGCUCGCGGCAAGAAUGCGAGUCAACAAUCCGAGAUGACCAAUAAAAGUUGUCUCAAUACAAAAAAAAUGAAAAAAAAAGAGAAAAAAGAAAAGAAAAAAAAAGUGAAUCCAAAUGCAGAAGCAGAAAAAANNNNNNNNNNNNNNNNNNNNNNNNNNNNNNNNNNNNNNNNNNNNNNNNNNNNNNNNNNNNNNNNNNNNNNNNNNNNNNNNNNNNNNNNNNNNNNNNNNNNNNNNNNNNNNNNNNNNNNNNNNNNNNNNNNNNNNNNNNNNNNNNNNNNNNNNNNNNNNNNNNNNNNNNNNNNNNNNNNNNNNNNNNNNNNNNNNNNNNNNNNNNNNNNNNNNNNNNNNNNNNNNNNNNNNNNNNNNNNNNNNNNNNNNNNNNNNNNNNNNNNNNNNNNNNNNNNNNNNNNNNNNNNNNNNNNNNNNNNNNNNNNNNNNNNNNNNNNNNNNNNNNNNNNNNNNNNNNNNNNNNNNNNNNNNNNNNNNNNNNNNNNNNNNNNNNNNNNNNNNNNNNNNNNNNNNNNNNNNNNNNNNNNNNNNNNNNNNNNNNNNNNNNNNNNNNNNNNNNNNNNNNNNNNNNNNNNNNNNNNNNNNNNNNNNNNNNNNNNNNNNNNNNNNNNNNNNNNNNNNNNNNNNNNNNNNNNNNNNNNNNNNNNNNNNNNNNNNNNNNNNNNNNNNNNNNNNNNNNNNNNNNNNNNNNNNNNNNNNNNNNNNNNNNNNNNNNNNUUCAGAUAAAUUCAAGUUAGAAGUAGCAGAAGCUCGCGGCAAGAAUGCGAGUCAACAAUCCGAGAUGACCAAUAAAAGUUGUCUCAAUCAAAAAAAAUGAAAAAAAAAGAGAAAAAAGAAAAGAAAAAAAAAGUGAAUCCAAAUGCAGAAGCAGAAAAAAAAUGUAAACUACUCAAGACAUGGUUGAGGUCAUGAGCGCUACAUGUCCGGUCUUGAUCCAAAAAGUUGAAGGAGAAUGAACUAGCACAUGCAGCUAGCAAGCGUCAAGGUUCAAAUCUACCGUCCACAUGAAGAACCAUUCAAGACUCAAGAUUAAGCUUCAGAAGACUCAUAGAUAAGAAUCUUGUAACUCGUAGCUGAUAGGCUUAAUUAGUUUUUUUUUCAGUUUUGAUUUUUUAUGCAAUAACGGGACCGCGGACCAGAACCUUGACGGAACCUCACUCGAUCUCGAACUCAUCACUCCAUCAUUCUUCUUGAACUACAUGCGACCUGAUUCCCUUAUAACCCGGGAUAUGUAGGCUGUCCAAAACCAGGACUCGAUUGCACCUUUUUCUUUUAGUUUUUUUCCUCUUCUGAAUAACGAUAUGGUCAAAAUUUAGUCACAUGGCUCACUUUAUCUUUAUCCGAAAACUCUUCUUGUUUCCAAGGAAAAAACGACAGCUAUGAGCACCUAAUAUUUGACCAUAUUUGAAUUUUCACUCACUUUUAAGUAAGUAAAUAUAUUUAUUAAGUUUAAUCUUCAUAUUUUAGUCUUUAUUUCACUUUUUAGUAGGUUUAUUUGAUAAAAUUAAAAAUCAUACAAAACAAAAGUCGCAUUUUUAGAGUUGUAAUUUUUAUUCUUCCAAAGGAAAGAAAAAAUUCAAAAAAGAAAUAAAAGAAUAUAUAUAUUGUUUCCAUAUAGUUUAGUUUGAUUCCUAAGUUAGAAAUUUCAACAAAUAAAUACUGAGCAGUUAUUAUAUUUAUUUUAGCAGUAGUGGUAUUUUAUUUUGUUCACUCUUUGUCCAUUACAAAGAAAGAGAAAAAAGGUAAUUUUAAAAUAAAAGAAAGAAAUCAAAAGAGAGGGGUCCACCUUUCAAAUUCUUUAAAUGGCUCUCCGUAAAAUUUUAGUCACGGCAUUUUGAACCUUUGAUAUUUUCUUUUGACCUUAUCUCUUCUAGGAGCCUUUUCAUUUUGUUAUUUUUUUUUAUAUUUUUGACCAAUCCGUGCUUUACACAUAAUUCCUUUGUCCAUUCUAACAAACCGAGAUGCACAAUUCACACAUCAUACAAAUUUACAUUCACAAUCUACAUUUACCCAUACACAUUUAAUAAUACAUGGAAGAAAUCUUUUUUGUUAUUAUCUUAACACACUUUUCCACGCACUCAUAUACUGCACAUGCCACCAUCCAUAUUCAUCCACACAAUAAUAACUGCACAACUUUUCCUCCAAGCAACUCUCCAUAUAGAAUCACCAAGGCAGAGAACAGAAAACAGAGAAGAACGAAGGGGCCGGGGGAAAAGAGAACAAGGAAAAGGGAACAAAAAAGAGAACGGACAGAUCUGGGGAACAAAAAUACAGGGGAAAGAGGGAUUUGCACAACAAAAAAUGGGAAAGGGGGCUGGGCAGAUUUCAGAAAAUACACACAAGGCCACACACAAAAAUAUAAAAGGGAACAAAAUAAGGAGUGGAGCUGGAUAUAAAUUAAAUGAACGAGCACCUUCCCUUGACCAAGCUUCAGCCACUUCUAAUUUCCAAGAACGACAACCUCCCAAAACCAAGCUAAUCCCUCUUCACCCUACAACAACCUGCCCUCCUCUAUAGCAUAAACGAAAUGAAAAUGACGAGAAACAGAGGGGAAAGUGGAGCGAGAAAAAAUCGAGCAUAAAAUCGAGAUUUGGAAAAAAAAAAACACAACCUUCUUCUUCAUCAAAGAUCUAGCUCUAAAACCAACCUUUAUCAGUCAGAAAUCAGCUUUCAAACUCCAUAAACACAGCAGUUUGGUUUUCUUCACCAUCGAUUCUAUUUUCCGUUCGCGGUUCGUCACAUUUUUUGAGUUCAAAGCUAUCAAACAAUUGAAUUUUAGACUUAUUUGAGGUUUAUUUCUCCCUUUCCGCUAUUAUUUUUGGUUAAGGUCAUGCUUUUGUUUUGAUAGCCUCGUUAAUCAUUAUGUGUUCUGUUUUAUUAAUCGUUUGAGUUUAACCUUUAUUCCUCUGUUUUGAAAUGUGUCCUAUUAGUAUUUGGUUUGUUCAGUUUUGUUUCGCUAAUUGUUGUUUAUAUAUAGUUUGGUUUAAUCUUCUUGGAUAGAUUUUCAUGACUAAAUAUGAGGUUGGUUUCCCGAUUCAUUGCUUCACUAAGAUAUAGAUGUUUAAUGAGUGUUGAUAAAAAUUUUGGUGACUUCAAGCAUCUGGCAACACCUCAAAUGAAAACUGACGUGUAUAAAAUGUAGUCUAAAUUAAAGUUAAAACAAAAUAAAGUUGAAGAAUUGAAAUUGCAACACCUAAGUGUCGCAUGUUUCUAAAAGUUCUUUUGGCCGCACAAUAAUUUCAAACUUAGAAAACUAAAUAAUUUAUGAACAUCGUAGUAUGCUUUAUGCGCAUUUUAAAUUUAUCAUCGUGAUUAUGUACACGUUCGCGUGACAUAAUUAUGAUUUUUAAAAUAAAUCGAGGGAUGUGUUUGCGUAACUUCGACCAAAAUUUCUUAAUAAUAAUAAAGCGUUAUUAAUUGUGGACACGUAUGCAUGACAUGAUUUUUGACGCGCCAAACAAAAGGGUACACGUGCGCGUGACCUGUUUUAAGAUAAUUUCUUAAUUAAAAGAGGCAAAUGCACAUAGGUUCUAAAAUGAGUAAUUAAAUAAUUAUUUAAGCCAAGUAUGAUUAAAGCGACCGUGCUAAAACCACAAAAUUCAGGAAUGUCUAACAUCUUCUCCCGAGUUAACAGAGUUCCUUACCCAGAUUUCUAUGUUCUCAGACCAUAAAUAGAGUCAAAUUUCCUCGAUUUAGGAUUUUAAACCGGUAACUUGGGAUACCAAUAAACUAUCCCAAGUGGCGACUCUGAUUUAAAUAAAUAAUCUCAUUUCGAUCAAUGUCGCUUUAAUUGGAAAAACUCCUUUAUAUUCCCCCCCCCCCCCCCGGGAAAAAGGACGUGUGACAAGCAGUAAUAGCGUUUGAGCAUUGAUAUGUUCCAAUUGCUUGGAACUUGUUUGCCUUCCAUGGUACCGAGCUUAUAUGACCCUUUACCGAUAACUCCGAGGACGUGGUAUGGUCCUUCCUAGUCCGGGCCUAGCUUCCCUUUAUUAGGGUUUCGAGUGUUUAGGGUGACUUUCCUUGGGACUAAAUCCCCGACCCCGAAAUGUCGGAAAUUUGUUCUCCUGUUAUAGUAUCUUUCGAUCCUUUGUUUUUGGGCGGCCAUUCGGACCAGUGAAGUUUCUCGCUUUUCAUCUAAUAGUUCGAAGGCUGUAGUCAUAGCCUUGUUGUUUGACCUCUCGGUGGCAUGUCAAAAUCUGAUGCUCGGCUCUCCGACCUCAACCGGUUUGAGAAAGUCGGCUCUCGGUGUUAUGUCAAAAUCUGAGGCAGUCAUAGCCUUGUUGUUUGAGAAAGUCGUCUCUCAUGUACUUGGUUUUGGAGUUGUUCGUUAUGCUCACAGCACUUCGGGCAACAUUUCAUUUCAUUUUCCUUUCGCAUUUUCUAACUUCUUUUUCAUGUUUUGAAUGAUGGUCUUGUUUUUGGACUAGGCCUGACCGUUUGCACAUGGGUGGUAGGGUGUUGACAGGAUCCUUUUGAUUUUAUGAUCCUCUAAGAACUUUGUUACUUUACUCCCAAUGAAUUGCUUCCCGUUAUUACAAGUUAUCUCGAAGGGAAUCCUGAAUCGAAACAUGAUAUGGUCCCAGAUGAAGUUAAUGACUUCUUUUUCCCGUGCCUUCUCGAAGGCCUGCGCUUCCACCCAUUUUGAGAAGUAGUCACUCAUAAAUAAGAUAAAUCUAGCUUUACCUGGUGCCGUUGGCAGGGUUUUGACAAUGUCAAUACCCCACUUCAUGAACGGCCAUGGCGACAAGACUGAGUGCAAAUGUUCAUCGGGCUGGUGAAUCCUCUGUACAAAUCUCUAGCAUUUGUCGCAUUUUUGGACGAAUUCUUUGGUGUCCUUCUCCAUGCUGUCCCAAUAGUUGCCUGCUCUAAUAACCUUUCGGACUAGGGAGUCAGCACCGGAGUGAUUUCCACAAGUGCCCUCGUGGAUUUUUCGGAGCACGUAAUCUGCAUCCAUCGGUCCCAGACAUACUGCUAGGGGCCCAUCAAAGGUUCUUCGAUAUAGAGUUCUAUUUUCGUCGAGCAAGAAUUGGGCUGCUUUUGUCCACAGGGCCCUCGACUAAUUUGGGUCCACGGGUAGCUUUCCACUUUCUAGAUAGUCGAUAUAUUUGUUUCUCUAAUCCCAUGUCAGGCUAGUGGAGUUGAUCUCGGCAUGGCCUUCUUCGAUCACUGAUUUGGAUAGUUGAACAACAGCCCCAUGGAGUAAGUCAUCUUCCUCAACUGAUGAUUCCAGGUUUGCGAGUGCAUCGACCUCUCUAUUCUGCUCCCGAGGUUUGUGGACCAGAGUCCAUUCUUUGAAGCGGUGCAAUGUGACUUGAAUUUUGUCUAAGUAUCUUUGCAUCAUGUCUUCCCGAACUUCGAAACUUCCAUUUACCUGAUUUACCACCAGAAGGGAAUCAUAUUUUGCUUCGAUUACUUCUGCUCCUAGGCCUUUGGCUGAUUCCAGACCUGCAAUCAUAGCCUCAUACUCGGCUUCAUUGUUAGUCAGCCUUGCAAUUUUUAUAGAUUGCCUAAUCAUGCCACCCGCAGGCGGCUUCAGAACUAUGCCGAGCCCGGACCCUUUCAUGUUUGAGGCACCAUCAGUGAAUAAGAUCCAUACCCCUGAAGAUGUGCCCGUUUUUAGUAGGAGUUCUUUCUAUACCUCGAGCACAAGGGAAAGCGUGAAGUCGGCCAUAAAAUCCGCCAAAAUUUGGGACUUGAUAGCCGUUCGGAUUAAUACUCGAUAAUUCGGGCUUAUGAAAUAUGCCCCGAAGAGGAUAUGUCAUUAAAACACAAAUAUGAUGGCAUUGAAAAUAAGAUUUUAAUUUUGGAGAUGUGUUUAUUAACGCAAGAGCCAAUUUUUCCAGGUGCGGAUACCUGGUUUCGACAUCUCCCAGGGUCCGACUUACAUAAUAAAUAGGGAAUUGCGUACCUUAUUUUUCUCGAACCAGCACACCACUUAGCACUACCUCGGAUACGGCUAGGUACAAAUAAAGCAUUUCACCCUCAUUUGAGGUGUGGAGUAAAUGUGUGCUUGUCAGAUAUCGCUUCAACUCCUCUAAGGCGCGUUGGCAUUUCGGAGUGCAUUCGAAGAUGUUUUUCUUUUUGAGCAAGGAGAAGAAGUGAUGACUUCUGUCUGAUGACCUCGAUAUGAAUCAGUCUAAGGCUGUUAUCUGCUCAGUUAGUCGUUGCACGACCUUCACAUUGUUUACCACCGUGAUUUUAGCCUGAAGGAAUCACAUUAUAGUAGUACGUACCGUACUUCAUGAUGAAUGAAGUCUUCUCCCUGUCCUCGGGGUUCAUCUAGAUUUGAUUAUACCCCGAGUAGGUGUCGAGAAAGGUUAGGAUCUCGUGGCCGUCCGUGGCAUCGAUCAGGCGAUCGAUUUAGGGCAACGGGAAUGAAUAUUUGUGGUACACUUUAUUCAAGUAUUUAUAAUCUACGCACAUUCUUAAUUUAUUCCCCUUUUUGGGAACUACCACCACAUUAGCCAACCAUUCGAGAUAUUUUACCUCCCUAAUAGACCUUAUUUUGAGGAGUUUUGUUGCCUCGUCCUUGAUGAACGCGUGUUUUACCUCCGAUUAACCUGGGGUCGACACUUAGUCGAUGGGUGGUUUUUUCCGGCGGGAUCCCAGUCAUGUCUGAAAGGGACCAAGUAAAGUAGUCGACGUUGUUGAUAAGAAAUUGAAUGAGUUUUUCCUGAGUACGGGGGUUAGUCCUGUUCUCAAGUAUACCUUCCUGAGAUGUUUGAUCAAAAUAGCUUGCUCCUGUUCUUCAAUUUUUGACUUUGUUGCAUCCGAUUCUUGAGGGCAAUAAAGGUUUGGGGAGUGAAGAAGUCUUCUUCAUCGUCCUUGAGGGUCUUUUUAUCUACCGGCUCCUUUGAGGAGGAGAGUAUAGAAGUUGGUACCUCCUCGUGAACCGCAAACAUCUCCUUUGAUGCAUGUUGUUCCCCAUAUACAAUUUUUAUACCGUCUUUUGUUGGAAAUUUCAUUAUCUAAUGAAGAGUCAAUGGUACUGCCCUUAUAUUGUGUAUCCAUGGCCUUCCAAGUAAUGCAUUAUAUCUUAUAUCACCCUCAAUGACGUGAAAUUUGAUAUUCGGAACUAUACCGGAUAUGUUGAUCGGGAGGGUGAUCACCCCUUCAUUGCUUCACCGGCCAUGUUAAAGCUAUUGAGGACUCAGGAGGUAGGUAUGAUUUGGUUGAGCUGUUCGAGCUGUUCUACAACCUUCGACCUGAUUACGUUGGACGAGCUACCUGGAUCCAUGAGUACAUGUUUUACUUGAACGUUAUUCAAGAGAAAUCAAAUUACCUGCACAUCGUUAUGCGGAUGAGACAAGGUCUCGAAGACCUCUUCACGGAAUGUUAGGAUGUCCUUGGGCAUGCGGUCCCGAAUUCGCCCUUCCGUUGCAGCGAAAACUUUUGACCGUUUAAUCAUGUGUCCUUGAGGAACGUCGAUCCCCCCAAUUAUCAUAUGAAUGAUGUGCUGAGGUUUUCCCGUUUCAUUCCUCCUGUCUACCUCUCUUUCCUUCUAGGCUAGGUUUUUUCGAACUUCCUAUUGGUUUUCCUAGCAUAUAUUCUCGUUAGUAUGGGAGAUUUUAUCGACGUGUUGGGCGUUGCGUGAGACCACAUCCACGGGGAUUGGCUAUGGUGCAUCCUCAAGGUUUCGCAGUGGUACACCGAUGACUGGAACAAUUACACCAUUCUCUACAUGGUCUUCAAGACCGUUGUUUUCAUGUGCAUUUACUGAGUUAGACAUUUUGACCAGAAAUCAAAGAUUCUUGGGCAAAAAAGUGUAAAGAAUAACUUGUGUUUUCAGUAAACCAGCACGAAAACAAUCAUUAUUAUUUUUAGUCCCACAGUGGGCGUCAAACUGUUUACCUCGAGAAUGGUAAUAAUAAUUAUAUUUGAUUUUGUGGUUCUAAAAAUACGUGAUUUUAUUUUUAUGCUAGUUGUUAGGCAGUAGAUGCUAAGUGUGAGACUAGAAAAUAAGAUAAGAGCUCGAAAAUAGAAUGCUAUGCAAAUUGAGUAGUCGAGGAUCGGGGCCUCGAGCUGGUCUAUACUGGGCCUCGGGGUUAAGCUAAUGAGCUCAUUUGGUGAUAGGCAAUGAAGGACUAACAGUUCUAAAAGCUUUGAUGAGGGCUCUUUAUGAUCAAUGAUGAGUAUAAAUGAAGAAUAAUUGAUGAAACAAAAUAAAUGUAAGCACUAAAUCAGAUUAGAGAUAAUGGAGAAUGUUUUAAGUUAGAGAGCAGAGAAUGUUCUUGUUCUUGUAUUGAAUAUCAUGUGUGCAGAAAUAACAAGGGUCCUAUUUAUAUAGGAGGGGGAAUCCCAACAUAGUACAUAUGCAUUUAUUACAAGGGAAAGUAGCUGGUACAACUACUUAAAGGUCUGGUACAGACUUGUACUAUUCUUGUAGGCGUUGUCAACUUUGAUCACGCACCUCGAGAAUUUCCCACUUGUCCAUAAUUGUAAUCGAUCUGCACUACCCUAAGGUUGAGCAUAGGGAACCCUCAGGGUCGAACCUCGACCGGUGACUCGAGCCUAUAGGGCUACGAAAUGUCAUAUCGAUCAUAAAAUUAUAGCGUCCGAUUUUAGUCGUGUACAAUGUAGAAACCCCAUAAACUCAGCGUUUAAUGCUCAUGUAAGUGAUGAUGAUGAGCACUUUACAAAUACAGAUUGGGCUAAUGUUAAAAUGCUUGUAAAUUUUUUAGAAAAAUUUAAUAUUGCUACAAAUAAAUUUUUUGGGCAAUAUUAUCCUACUAUUUCUAACUAUUUAGUUUAUAUUGCACAACAUGCAAAUUUGUAUGUUCAUUUUUCAGUGGGUUGGGAAAUUUAUGAACAAGCUAUUGAUUCUAUGAGAAAAAAGUUUAAAAAAUAUUUUUUCCCUAUUCUUCCUAUUUAUGGUGUUGUUGAUUUGUCAAAUCCUACUAUGAAAUUAGGAGGUCCUCAAUUUUUGUAUAAAACUGUUUAUAAUGGUUUUGCACUUGAAGAUGAGGAGUUGUCUAAACUUCUGGAAGCACAAGCUUCAAUUAAAAUAAAUGCUCAAACUAUUUAUAGUACUUAUCAAAUUGCAUUAGAUCAUGCUAGACCAAAUUUUCCAACUCCUUCUUCUUCUAGUUCUCAAUCAUCUCAAAGAACUGCGGGAGUAAGAGCACAUACUGCUUGGGCCGGG
RNAcentral lists this long non-coding RNA (34198 nucleotides) under Nicotiana tabacum (common tobacco). RNAcentral describes it as "long non-coding RNA (NTAB_LNC006202)". Lineage: Eukaryota; Viridiplantae; Streptophyta; Magnoliopsida; Solanales; Solanaceae. The record is from RNAcentral.